GCCAGGGUGGCGUAGUGGUUAGCACAGCUGCCUAGUGAGCAGUAGACCCGGGUUUGAAUCCUGGCCUUAGCA
This is a non-coding RNA of Schistocerca serialis cubense, 72 nucleotides long. Lineage: Eukaryota; Metazoa; Arthropoda; Insecta; Orthoptera; Acrididae. The record is from the annotation of a RefSeq genome assembly.